GGCUUUGCUUGAGGCUGGUUCGAAUGGCAAAUUGGUUCCAUCAAGGUCUUCUGUAAUUGACACUCAAAGCAGGCUUGAAUGAUGACUGCAUCGAAGUUUUUUGGUUCUUGAAUGCGCAAAAUUUCAUCAAUAGAAUCCUGACAGCAAAACUUCACUCAAGUGAAUAACCAUGCCAAGAUACGUCAGGUUGAUCUGCCGAGUGAUCAUGGAUUCUAGUAUUGCAUUGACUUCUUUUGUUGGAAUGAAUUAAGUUAGUUUUUUUUAAUGCAAAUUUAGAAAUCAUCUAUAUUAUAAACAUCAUGGAUCAUUAAGUUCAGAGUUUGUG
RNAcentral lists this long non-coding RNA (325 nucleotides) under Phoenix dactylifera (date palm). RNAcentral describes it as "long non-coding RNA (PDAC_LNC019392)". Lineage: Eukaryota; Viridiplantae; Streptophyta; Magnoliopsida; Arecales; Arecaceae. The record is from RNAcentral.